UCUGGGUGCAGUGGUGCACGCCUGUAAUCCCAGUGGCUCAGGAGGUUGAGGCAGGGGGAUCGCAAGUUCAAAUCCAGCCUCAGCAAAACCAAGGUGCUAGGCAACUCAGUGAGAUCCUGUCUCUA
Molecule: small RNA, 125 nt
Filed under: Marmota monax (woodchuck)
Lineage: Eukaryota; Metazoa; Chordata; Mammalia; Rodentia; Sciuridae
Source: RNAcentral